CUCGUAGGUGGUUUGUCGCGUCGUCUGUGAAAUUCCGGGGCUUAACUCCGGGCGUGCAGGCGAUACGGGCAUAACUUGAGUACUGUAGGGGAGACUGGAAUUCCUGGUGUAGCGGUGAAAUGCGCAGAUAUCAGGAGGAACACCGGUGGCGAAGGCGGGUCUCUGGGCAGUAACUGACGCUGAGGAGCGAAAGCAUGGGUAGCAAACA
This 208-nucleotide ribosomal RNA is filed under the name uncultured bacterium. RNAcentral's name for it is "partial 16S ribosomal RNA". It matches the Rfam family "Bacterial small subunit ribosomal RNA", at positions 568 to 774 of the family's 1533-position model. The record is from RNAcentral.